AUGGCUCAGAUUGAACGCUGGCGGCAUGCCUUACACAUGCAAGUCGAACGGCAGCACGGGGCAACCGUGGUGGCGAGUGGCGAACGGGUGAGUAAUGCAUCGGAACGUGCCAUUGAGUGGGGGAUAACGUAGCGAAAGUUGCGCUAAUACCGCAUAUUCUGUGAGCAGGAAAGCAGGGGACCGCAAGGCCUUGCGCUCUUUGAGCGGCCGAUGUCAGAUUAGCUAGUUGGUGAGGUAACGGCUUACCAAGGCGACGAUCUGUAGCGGGUCUGAGAGGAUGAUCCGCCACACUGGAACUGAGACACGGUCCAGACUCCUACGGGAGGCAGCAGUGGGGAAUUUUGGACAAUGGGCGCAAGCCUGAUCCAGCCAUGCCGCGUGAGUGAAAAGGCCUUCGGGUUGUAAAGCUCUUUCGGCCGGGAAGAAAUCGCAUGGGUUAAUACCCUGUGUGGAUGACGGUACCGGAAUAAGAAGCACCGGCUAACUACGUG
Molecule: ribosomal RNA, 491 nt
Filed under: uncultured bacterium
Lineage: Bacteria
Description: bacterial SSU rRNA
Rfam family: Bacterial small subunit ribosomal RNA
Source: RNAcentral